Molecule: ribosomal RNA, 253 nt
Filed under: uncultured bacterium
Lineage: Bacteria
Description: partial 16S ribosomal RNA
Rfam family: Bacterial small subunit ribosomal RNA
Source: RNAcentral
UACGGGGGGGGCAAGCGUUGUUCGGAAUUACUGGGCGUAAAGGGCUCGUAGGCGGCCAACUAAGUCAGACGUGAAAUCCCUCGGCUUAACCGGGGAACUGCGUCUGAUACUGGAUGGCUUGAGGUUGGGAGAGGGAUGCGGAAUUCCAGGUGUAGCGGUGAAAUGCGUAGAUAUCUGGAGGAAUACCGGUGGCGAAGGCGGCAUCCUGGACCGACAUUGACGCUGAACGGCGAAAGCUAGGGGAGCAAACGGG